RNAcentral lists this ribosomal RNA (882 nucleotides) under Triticum aestivum (bread wheat). RNAcentral's name for it is "partial small subunit ribosomal RNA". Lineage: Eukaryota; Viridiplantae; Streptophyta; Magnoliopsida; Poales; Poaceae. The record is from RNAcentral.
AAAAGUGAUGCCAAAAAUUUAUUUGAUGCACUUGGUCGCUUUGAGUUUAUAGUUGGUAUGAUUAUCUGGCAUGAUGUUCUAUUUGCUGUAAAUAAAGUUAGCAAGAUGUUGCAAUCGUCAACCAUGUGCAUUAACUCCGCUUUGAAGCAAAUAAAAGGUAUAACAAAAUAUUUUGAGAAGUACAGAGAUGAGGGGUUUUCUUCAAGUCUGACCAUCGCUAAAGGUAUUGCAACUGAAAUGGGAAUAGAGCCAUUGUUUCCAGUGAAACGUCAUGCUAAGAGGAAGAAACAGUAUGAUGAAAGUGAUUGUCAAGAAGAAAUCUUGGAAGCUGAGAAGGCUUUCCAAGUUAAAUAUUUUAAUGUUUUGGUUGAUAUGGCGAUCACUUCUUUGAAUGAUAGAUUUAAAGAACUCGUGGUCUUUAAAGAUAUAUUCAGAUUUUUAUUGAGCUCGGGCACUCUCACGUCAUUAAGUGACAAUGAACUUGAAGAAUGUUGCACAAAAUUUGCAGAAACUUUCUCUCUUAAUGGUUCAUCUGAUGUUGAGGUAUACGAUCUUAUUUCUGAAUUGAAGAUUAUGAGAUUCACUUUGCCAGAUGGCACAAUGUCUGCUAUGGAGAUUUUCAGGCAUGUCAGAGAAGUUGAUUGUUACCCCAAUAUAUCCAUUGCCUAUCGCAUCUUAUUUACUGUGCCUGUGACGGUCGCAUCGGCCGAGAGAAGCUUUUCAAAGUUGAAAUUAUUGAAGAAUUAUUUGAGGUCAACCAUGACUCAAGAGAGGUUAAAUGGUUUGGCCACAUUAUGCAUCGAGAAGAAAUUAUUGGAUGAGAUUGACAUCGACCCCAUCAUAAGUGACUUUGCAUCGAGGAAUGUUAGAAGAAAAUUUUAA